This is a non-coding RNA of Lodderomyces parapsilosis, 73 nucleotides long. The record is from the annotation of a RefSeq genome assembly. NCBI's taxonomy places the organism in Eukaryota, Fungi, Ascomycota, Pichiomycetes, Serinales, Debaryomycetaceae.
GGGUGGUUGGUCUAGAUGGUAUGAUUCUCGUUUAGGGUACGGGCGGUCCCGGGUUCGAUUCCCGGAUCACCCC